GAUUUAACAGCUUUUGUUUUGGGCAGAAGAACCUAUGGGCACAAAAAGCAGGAACGAGUAGCGGUGGCUGAAGAACGAGCAGGAGCUUGAAUUUCAGUUUUCUUAUGAGGAAUUUUCCAGAAAAGAUAUCUUCACUGUGAAAUAACUAAAUAAAUGCCCACUCAGUACAGUCACUGUCUCCCUUUUGGAACUUGAUGGCACCUUAAGCCCAGGUUUGCCUCCACUCUAGAAACUCAUCAGAGUGAUGCCCUUCUCAAAUGGGGGAGGUCCCAAAGCGGAUAUCCUGGCAGUGUGAAAGGCCGGCUAAAGCUUUCCCUGCACUCCAAACACAGAGCUGAGACUUCCACCUAAUGUAGAAAGCUAGCACGAGCCGGCGCUGACAGAUGGAAGACUUGAGAUGUUACAAGAUUAUAUAUGGAAACACAAAAGGAGUGGAGUUGCUGGGUCAUAUGGCAAUUCAUUUGAGGAACUGAGAAGCUUAUUCCAUGGAGGCUGAACUGUUUUAUAUUCCCACCAGCAACGUGUAAGGUUCCAGUUUAUCUACAUCAUCACCAACACUUGCU
Molecule: long non-coding RNA, 563 nt
Filed under: Homo sapiens (human)
Lineage: Eukaryota; Metazoa; Chordata; Mammalia; Primates; Hominidae
Description: non-protein coding lnc-PJVK-2:6
Source: RNAcentral